GUUCUUUAGAUUAUAUUUUAAGAUUUGGCCUGCCCUAUGAUUUAUUAAAUGGCUGCGGUAUUUUAACCGUACAAAGGUAGCAUAAUCAUUUGUCUUUUAAUUGAAGGCUGGAAUGAAUGGUUUGAUGAAAAAUUAGCUUUCUUAAAUUAAUUUAAUGAAUUUAAUUUUUUAGUGAAAAAGCUUAAAUUUUUUUAUGGGACGAUAAGACCCUAUAGAGGUUUAUUAAAUAUUUAAUUUAAUUAAUUUUGAUUUUUAUUUAGUUAAAUAAUUUAUUUAAUUUUGUUGGGGUGACAUAUAAAAUUAAUGAACUUUAUAAUUUAUAUUUCAAAUAUAUUUGUUUAAUUGAUCCAAUUUUAUUGAUUAUUAGAUUAACCUACCUUAGGGAUAACAGCGUAAUUAAUUUGGAGAGUUCAUAUUGAUAAAUUAGUUUGCGA
Molecule: ribosomal RNA, 434 nt
Filed under: Hydrometra feta
Lineage: Eukaryota; Metazoa; Arthropoda; Insecta; Hemiptera; Hydrometridae
Description: partial 16S ribosomal RNA
Source: RNAcentral